Diachasmimorpha longicaudata is the source of this 172-nucleotide long non-coding RNA. RefSeq lists it as uncharacterized. The record is from RefSeq and is a predicted model, not a curated record. Lineage: Eukaryota; Metazoa; Arthropoda; Insecta; Hymenoptera; Braconidae. The transcript is spliced from 2 exons.
GGCCUUCGUCGUUGACAUGAUUGUUGAACCUAUACCUUUGACAGUCGACCAUAAACGUAUACGCGCUGUCAUCCAGUGUUAGUGCGUCGUGCUGAGGAUCAAUGAGUUCAUGAAAACAUCUUCGAUAAAUUAUCAAAAGCCUGGGACUCCGGGCGUUUUGUGGAAGGAACUG